UUCAUUGGUUCCCUUUCCUUGCUUUCCCUGUCCAUCGAAGAAACAAAAGCAGAACCAUACCAUUACUCCAAAAUCAACAGCUCCUUCGUCAUCGUGACCUCCACCGUCGUCCAACUCUGGCAGCCACCGCCCACCUGCCCUUGAAUUCUCUCACUCUCAGUAAUGGGAUUUGGGUCGAACAACUGGACGGGUAAUUAAGACGUACCGAGCAAACCGAGGUCGUUAGAUUUAUUGGAUGUGGAACUUGCUGUUUGGAGCGGCUUGAGUGGUCAUGGUCAUACUGAUGGGAUCAUUUGUUAAACACUUAUUUAUCACGUUAAAUUAGUAUUUACUUUAGGAUACAUUGAUGCUUCCGCUGAACAUGUGGUCUUUGGAAUAACUUAUGAUUGGGAUUUUUAUUAUUAUUAUUGAAGGAACUUUAUUUUAAACUUAUGAUUCAAUGUAAUUAGUGGCUCAUUGCUAGUGGUCACACGCCUAACAGGGACACUCCCUAGGUGGUAAUUU
This 504-nucleotide long non-coding RNA is filed under the name Helianthus annuus (common sunflower). Its description in RNAcentral is "sRNA HanXRQr2_Chr06g0255281". The record is from RNAcentral. Lineage: Eukaryota; Viridiplantae; Streptophyta; Magnoliopsida; Asterales; Asteraceae.